GACGAACGCUGGCGGCGUGCUUAACACAUGCAAGUCGAACGGAAAGGCCCUGCUUUUGUGGGGUGCUCGAGUGGCGAACGGGUGAGUAACACGUGAGUAACCUGCCCUUGACUUAGGGAUAACUUCAGGAAACUGGGGCUAAUACCGGAUAGGAGCUCCUGCUGCAUGGUGGGGGUUGGAAAGUUUCGGCGGUUGGGGAUGGACUAGCGGCUUAUCCGCUUGUUGGUGGGGUAGUGGCUUACCAAGGCUUUGACGGGUAGCCGGCCUGAGAGGGUGACCGGCCACAUUGGGACUGAGAGACGGACCAGACUCCUACGGGAGGCAGCAGUGGGGAAUAUUGCACAAUGGGCGGAAGCCUGAUGCAGCAACGCCGCGUGCGGGAUGACGGCCUUCGGGUUGUAAACCGCUUUCGCCUGUGACGAAGCGUGAGUGACGGUAAUGGGUAAAGAAGCACCGGCUAACUACGUG
This 468-nucleotide ribosomal RNA is filed under the name uncultured bacterium. Its description in RNAcentral is "partial 16S ribosomal RNA". It matches the Rfam family "Bacterial small subunit ribosomal RNA", at positions 28 to 507 of the family's 1533-position model. The record is from RNAcentral.